UGUUCUUAGCGCAAAACUUAACUCAUUUCUUCUUUUUCUUGAACAGGUCACCGCUGACACUCGGAAGGCCCUCUUCGAGGAGCUUUUAUGGGAGCACCGGGAGCUCGCUGAGGCACACGACAAGUGCCAAGUGAUCCCGGAAGCUUCCAUCGAUGCUCUCAAGGAGCAGCUCGCCACGGCCCAACGGGAGAAGGAUGAGCUCAGCCGGCGG
Molecule: non-coding RNA, 211 nt
Organism: Lolium perenne
Lineage: Eukaryota; Viridiplantae; Streptophyta; Magnoliopsida; Poales; Poaceae
Source: RefSeq, a predicted model, not a curated record